RNAcentral lists this non-coding RNA (30 nucleotides) under Actinoplanes sp. SE50/110. Lineage: Bacteria; Bacillati; Actinomycetota; Actinomycetes; Micromonosporales; Micromonosporaceae. The record is from RNAcentral.
CCCAUGUCUGUGUUGAACAAUGCGUCUGUG